Molecule: transfer RNA, 91 nt
Filed under: Alistipes sp.
Lineage: Bacteria; Pseudomonadati; Bacteroidota; Bacteroidia; Bacteroidales; Rikenellaceae
Description: tRNA-Ser
Rfam family: tRNA
About the family: Transfer RNA (tRNA) molecules are approximately 80 nucleotides in length.
Source: RNAcentral
GGAGAAGUGUCCGAGCGGUCGAAGGAGCACGCCUGGAAAGUGUGUAUACCUCAAAAGGGUAUCGCGGGUUCGAAUCCCGCCUUCUCCGCGA